GUGCUCGCUUCAGCAGCACAUAUACUAAAAUUGGAACGAUACAGAGAAGAUUAGCAUGGCCCCUGUGCAAGGAUGAUAUGCAAAAUUGUGACGCAUUCCAUAUUUUU
Molecule: small nuclear RNA, 107 nt
Filed under: Ovis aries (sheep)
Lineage: Eukaryota; Metazoa; Chordata; Mammalia; Artiodactyla; Bovidae
Source: RNAcentral